Molecule: transfer RNA, 23 nt
Filed under: Lepidoblepharis xanthostigma
Lineage: Eukaryota; Metazoa; Chordata; Lepidosauria; Squamata; Sphaerodactylidae
Description: partial tRNA-Trp
Source: RNAcentral
AGGAACUUAGGCUAACACCAAGA